Molecule: transfer RNA, 70 nt
Filed under: Psalidodon scabripinnis
Lineage: Eukaryota; Metazoa; Chordata; Actinopteri; Characiformes; Acestrorhamphidae
Also listed under: 9 other names
Description: tRNA-Met
Rfam family: tRNA
About the family: Transfer RNA (tRNA) molecules are approximately 80 nucleotides in length. Their secondary structure includes four short double-helical elements and three loops (D, anti-codon, and T loops). Further hydrogen bonds mediate the characteristic L-shaped molecular structure. tRNAs have two regions of fundamental functional importance: the anti-codon, which is responsible for specific mRNA codon recognition, and the 3' end, to which the tRNAs corresponding amino acid is attached (by aminoacyl-tRNA synthetases). tRNAs cope with the degeneracy of the genetic code in two manners: having more than one tRNA (with a specific anti-codon) for a particular amino acid; and 'wobble' base-pairing, i.e. permitting non-standard base-pairing at the 3rd anti-codon position.
Source: RNAcentral
AGUAAGAUAAGCUAACUUAAGCUAUUGGGCCCAUACCCCAAAAAUGAAGGUUAAAACCCCUCUCCUACUA